This 345-nucleotide long non-coding RNA is filed under the name Elaeis guineensis (African oil palm). RNAcentral's name for it is "long non-coding RNA (EGUI_LNC005269)". The record is from RNAcentral. Lineage: Eukaryota; Viridiplantae; Streptophyta; Magnoliopsida; Arecales; Arecaceae.
GGGUAAGAAAAGAGAUACCCAUCCCCAUACCCAACGGAUUCGGAAAUACCCGUGGGUAACCCAUUUCCCCAUACCCAAUCCAUACCCGCCCCAUACCCAACCCAUACCCAUCCAUUCUAUACCAAAAAAAAAAGUAAAAUAAUUUUAUGCAUAUUAUCAAUCAAAAAUAGAAUUACCAAUUAUAUAUAUAUACAUACAUAUAUACGUACAUACACACUUCUAACACACACACAUACAUACAUGCGUACAUAUAUGCAUGCAUACAUAUACAUACAUACAUAUAUAUAAUUAUAUAUAUAUAGAGAGAGAGAGAAAGAGAGAGAGAUCAUAUAUAUGUGUGUGUAU